RNAcentral lists this long non-coding RNA (238 nucleotides) under Setaria viridis. RNAcentral's name for it is "long non-coding RNA (SVIR_LNC003444)". The record is from RNAcentral. Lineage: Eukaryota; Viridiplantae; Streptophyta; Magnoliopsida; Poales; Poaceae.
UUAGAUAUUACUCGAUAAGUGGAACUUACAGAAUUCGCCGGAGAUCGUGUCGAUGCAGCCCUGCCAAUCUGUACGAACUCGUGAAAGGAAAAGAUGUAUUGGCGAAAUCGCCGACUUGAAAGUAAAGUACGAUGAAAAAGUAGAUUGUUUAUAUUGAUGGAUGUGUUCUUUUACAAAUCUAUAGAGAUGGCUAUUUAUAGCCUGUUACAACUGAUUUCCUAACCGACUAGGAUCUAUC